RNAcentral lists this ribosomal RNA (731 nucleotides) under Aspergillus niger. RNAcentral describes it as "SSU rRNA". It matches the Rfam family "Eukaryotic small subunit ribosomal RNA", at positions 56 to 799 of the family's 1831-position model. Lineage: Eukaryota; Fungi; Ascomycota; Eurotiomycetes; Eurotiales; Aspergillaceae. The record is from RNAcentral.
UGUCUAAGUAUAAGCAAUUUAUACGGUGAAACUGCGAAUGGCUCAUUAAAUCAGUUAUCGUUUAUUUGAUAGUACCUUACUACAUGGAUACCUGUGGUAAUUCUAGAGCUAAUACAUGCUGAAAACCUCGACUUCGGAAGGGGUGUAUUUAUUAGAUAAAAAACCAAUGCCCUUCGGGGCUCCUUGGUGAAUCAUAAUAACUUAACGAAUCGCAUGGCCUUGCGCCGGCGAUGGUUCAUUCAAAUUUCUGCCCUAUCAACUUUCGAUGGUAGGAUAGUGGCCUACCAUGGUGGCAACGGGUAACGGGGAAUUAGGGUUCGAUUCCGGAGAGGGAGCCUGAGAAACGGCUACCACAUCCAAGGAAGGCAGCAGGCGCGCAAAUUACCCAAUCCCGACACGGGGAGGUAGUGACAAUAAAUACUGAUACGGGGCUCUUUUGGGUCUCGUAAUUGGAAUGAGUACAAUCUAAAUCCCUUACCCAGGAACAAUUGGAGGGCAAGUCUGGUGCCAGCAGCCGCGGUAAUUCCAGCUCCAAUAGCGUAUAUUAAAGUUGUUGCAGUUAAAAAGCUCGUAGUUGAACCUUGGGUUCGGCCGGCCGGUCCGCCUCACCGCGAGUACUGUCCGGCCGUUCCUUUCCUUCUGGGGAAUCCCAUGGCCUUCACUGGCUGUGGGGGGAACCAGGACUUUUACUGUGAAAAAAUUAGAGUGUUCAAAGCAGGCCUUUGCUCGAA